Molecule: ribosomal RNA, 253 nt
Filed under: uncultured bacterium
Lineage: Bacteria
Description: partial 16S ribosomal RNA
Rfam family: Bacterial small subunit ribosomal RNA
Source: RNAcentral
AACGUAGGACACGAGCGUUAUCCGGAGUUACUGGGCGUAAAGGGCGUGCAGGCGGUUCUGUAAGUCUGAUGUGAAAGCGCCCGGCUUAACCGGGCGAGGACAUUGGAGACUGCAAGACUAGAGGCAGAUAGAGGGGUGUAGAAUUCCGGGUGUAGUGGUGAAAUGCGUAGAGAUCCGGAGGAAUACCAGAGGCGAAGGCGGCACCCUGGGUCUGACCUGACGCUGAGACGCGACAGCAUGGGGAGCGAACGGG